Molecule: ribosomal RNA, 207 nt
Filed under: uncultured bacterium
Lineage: Bacteria
Description: partial 16S ribosomal RNA
Rfam family: Bacterial small subunit ribosomal RNA
Source: RNAcentral
CGUGGGAAUCUACCCUGGUGUGGGGAACAACUCUCUGAAAGGAGAGCUAAUACCGCAUAAUCCCAGAGAUGGGGAAAGCCAGAAAUGGCGCACAAGGAUGAGCCUGCGGCUGAUUAGCUAGUUGGUGUGGUAAAAGCAUACCAAGGCGAUGAUCAGUAGCUGGUCUGAGAGGACGGCCAGCCACACUGGGACUGCGAUACGGCCCAG